RNAcentral lists this ribosomal RNA (330 nucleotides) under uncultured eukaryote. RNAcentral describes it as "partial 18S ribosomal RNA". It matches the Rfam family "Eukaryotic small subunit ribosomal RNA", at positions 1470 to 1796 of the family's 1831-position model. The record is from RNAcentral.
CCCUUAGAUGUUCGGGGCCGCACGCGCGCUACACUGAAGGAAUCAGCACGUCUUUCUCCUUGUCCGAAAGGACUGGGUAACCCGCUGAACCUCCUUCGUGCUAGGGAUUGGGGCCUGUAAUUCUUCCCCAUGAACGAGGAAUUCCCAGUAAGCGCGAGUCAUAAGCUCGCGUUGAUUACGUCCCUGCCCUUUGUACACACCGCCCGUCGCUACUACCGAUUGGAUGGUUUAGUGAGAUCCUCGGAUUGGUCCCGGCGCGGCCUCUGGUCGUGCCGGAGUGCCGAAAAGAAUGUCGAACUUGAUCAUCUAGAGGAAGUAAAAGUCGUAACA